Molecule: microRNA precursor, 92 nt
Filed under: Drosophila virilis
Lineage: Eukaryota; Metazoa; Arthropoda; Insecta; Diptera; Drosophilidae
Description: microRNA dvi-mir-31a precursor
Gene: dvi-mir-31a
Rfam family: mir-31 microRNA precursor family
Source: miRBase by way of RNAcentral
UCUGUUGUUCAAUUGGCAAGAUGUCGGCAUAGCUGACGUUUGAAAGCGCAUUUUUAUAGCGCUAUGCUGCAUCUAGUCAGUUAUUCAAUGGA